This 459-nucleotide ribosomal RNA is filed under the name uncultured bacterium. Its description in RNAcentral is "partial 16S ribosomal RNA". It matches the Rfam family "Bacterial small subunit ribosomal RNA", at positions 338 to 795 of the family's 1533-position model. The record is from RNAcentral.
CCUACGGGAGGCAGCAGUGAGGAAUAUUGGUCAAUGGCCGGAAGUCUGAACCAGCCAAGCCGCGUGAAGGACGAAGGUGCCAAGCAUUGUAAACUUCUUUUGUCAAGGGACAAACUCAGGCUCGAGAGCCUGACCGAGGGUACUUGAUGAAAAAGCAUCGGCUAACUCCGUGCCAGCAGCCGCGGUAAUACGGAGGAUGCGAUCGUUAUCCGGAUUGAUUGGGUUAAAGGGGUGCGUAGGCGGACUGUUAAGUCAGCGGUAAAAGCCCGGGGCGCAACCCCGGCGAGCCGUUGAAACUGGCUGUCUUGAGAUGGCGAGAGGUAGGCGGAAUGCGCAGUGUAGCGGUGAAAUGCUUAGAUAUUGCGCAGAACUCCGAUUGCGAAGGCAGCAUACCGGAGGCGAUCUGACGCUGAGGCACGAAAGCGUGGGUAUCGAACAGGAUUAGAUACCCGAGUAGUC